AAGUCGUAACAAGGUUUCCGUAGGUGAACCUGCGGAAGGAUCAUUAAUGAAAGAUAAUUUUUUGGGGUUUUCCCUGAAAAAUAAUUCACCUUUUGUGCACUGUUUUUAGAUAUGCUUUGGUUAGAGCUUUGAUUUCAUUUACUGGAAUCAACUUCUCGCUGACUCUAUCCUUUUUAAAGGACAGUUGGCUAUGAAGCGGCCUACCAAAGUUUUUAUCAAACUCUUGCAUUUUGUCUGACCUAAAAUAUCAAUAAUUAAAUAACUUUCAACAACGGAUCUCUUGGCUCUC
RNAcentral lists this unclassified non-coding RNA (289 nucleotides) under fungal sp. RNAcentral describes it as "partial internal transcribed spacer region". The stretch from base 1 to 46 matches the Rfam family "Eukaryotic small subunit ribosomal RNA", at positions 1786 to 1831 of the family's 1831-position model. Lineage: Eukaryota; Fungi. The record is from RNAcentral.